UAAGCGGAGGAAAAGAAACCAACAGGGAUUGCCCUAGUAACGGCGAGUGAAGCGGCAACAGCUCAAAUUUGAAAUCUGGCUCUUUCAGAGUCCGAGUUGUAAUUUGCAGAGGGCGCUUUGGCUUUGGCAGCGGUCCAAGUUCCUUGGAACAGGACGUCACAGAGGGUGAGAAUCCCGUACGUGGUCGCUAGCUAUUGCCGUGUAAAGCCCCUUCGACGAGUCGAGUUGUUUGGGAAUGCAGCUCUAAAUGGGAGGUAAAUUUCUUCUAAAGCUAAAUAUUGGCCAGAGACCGAUAGCGCACAAGUAGAGUGAUCGAAAGAUGAAAAGCACUUUGGAAAGAGAGUCAAACAGCACGUGAAAUUGUUGAAAGGGAAGCGCUUGCAGCCAGACUUGCUUGCAGUUGCUCAUCCGGGCUUUUGCCCGGUGCACUCUUCUGCAGGCAGGCCAGCAUCAGUUUGGGCGGUGGGAUAAAGGUCUCUGACACGUUCCUUCCUUCGGGUUGGCCAUAUAGGGGAGACGUCAUACCACCAGCCUGGACUGAGGUCCGCGCAUCUGCUAGGAUGCUGGCGUAAUGGCUGUAAGCGGCCCGUCUUGAAACACGGACCAAGGAGUCUAACAUCUAUGCGAGUGUUUGGGUGUCAAGCCCGAGCGCGUAAUGAAAGUGAACGGAGGUGGGAACCCGCAAGGGUGCACCAUCGACCGAUCCUGAAGUUUACGGAAGGAUUUGAGUAAGAGCAUGGCUGUUGGGACCCGAAAGAUGGUGAACUAUGCUUGAAUAGGGUGAAGCCAGAGGAAACUCUGGUGGAGGCUCGCAGCGGUUCUGACGUGCAAAUCGAUCGUCAAAUUUGGGCAUAGGGGCGAAAGACUAAUCGAACUAUCUAGUAGCUGGUUCCUGCCGAGC
This 901-nucleotide ribosomal RNA is filed under the name Curvularia lunata. Its description in RNAcentral is "partial large subunit ribosomal RNA". It matches the Rfam family "Eukaryotic large subunit ribosomal RNA", at positions 47 to 966 of the family's 3401-position model. Lineage: Eukaryota; Fungi; Ascomycota; Dothideomycetes; Pleosporales; Pleosporaceae. The record is from RNAcentral.